Molecule: ribosomal RNA, 1535 nt
Filed under: Escherichia coli
Lineage: Bacteria; Pseudomonadati; Pseudomonadota; Gammaproteobacteria; Enterobacterales; Enterobacteriaceae
Description: bacterial SSU rRNA
Rfam family: Bacterial small subunit ribosomal RNA
Source: RNAcentral
UUGAAGAGUUUGAUCAUGGCUCAGAUUGAACGCUGGCGGCAGGCCUAACACAUGCAAGUCGAACGGUAACAGGAAACAGCUUGCUGUUUCGCUGACGAGUGGCGGACGGGUGAGUAAUGUCUGGGAAACUGCCUGAUGGAGGGGGAUAACUACUGGAAACGGUAGCUAAUACCGCAUAACGUCGCAAGACCAAAGAGGGGGACCUUAGGGCCUCUUGCCAUCGGAUGUGCCCAGAUGGGAUUAGCUAGUAGGUGGGGUAAAGGCUCACCUAGGCGACGAUCCCUAGCUGGUCUGAGAGGAUGACCAGCCACACUGGAACUGAGACACGGUCCAGACUCCUACGGGAGGCAGCAGUGGGGAAUAUUGCACAAUGGGCGCAAGCCUGAUGCAGCCAUGCCGCGUGUAUGAAGAAGGCCUUCGGGUUGUAAAGUACUUUCAGCGGGGAGGAAGGAGUAAAGUUAAUACCUUUGCUCAUUGACGUUACCCGCAGAAGAAGCACCGGCUAACUCCGUGCCAGCAGCCGCGGUAAUACGGAGGGUGCAAGCGUUAAUCGGAAUUACUGGGCGUAAAGCGCACGCAGGCGGUUUGUUAAGUCAGAUGUGAAAUCCCCGGGCUCAACCUGGGAACUGCAUCUGAUACUGGCAAGCUUGAGUCUCGUAGAGGGGGUAGAAUUCCAGGUGUAGCGGUGAAAUGCGUAGAGAUCUGGAGGAAUACCGGUGGCGAAGGCGGCCCCCUGGACGAAGACUGACGCUCAGGUGCGAAAGCGUGGGGAGCAAACAGGAUUAGAUACCCUGGUAGUCCACGCCGUAAACGAUGUCGACUUGGAGGUUGUGCCCUUGAGGCGUGGCUUCCGGAGCUAACGCGUUAAGUCGACCGCCUGGGGAGUACGGCCGCAAGGUUAAAACUCAAAUGAAUUGACGGGGGCCCGCACAAGCGGUGGAGCAUGUGGUUUAAUUCGAUGCAACGCGAAGAACCUUACCUGGUCUUGACAUCCACGGAAGUUUUCAGAGAUGAGAAUGUGCCUUCGGGAACCGUGAGACAGGUGCUGCAUGGCUGUCGUCAGCUCGUGUUGUGAAAUGUUGGGUUAAGUCCCGCAACGAGCGCAACCCUUAUCCUUUGUUGCCAGCGGUCCGGCCGGGAACUCAAAGGAGACUGCCAGUGAUAAACUGGAGGAAGGUGGGGAUGACGUCAAGUCAUCAUGGCCCUUACGACCAGGGCUACACACGUGCUACAAUGGCGCAUACAAAGAGAAGCGACCUCGCGAGAGCAAGCGGACCUCAUAAAGUGCGUCGUAGUCCGGAUUGAGUCUGCAACUCGACUCCAUGAAGUCGGAAUCGCUAGUAAUCGUGGAUCAGAAUGCCACGGUGAAUACGUUCCCGGGCCUUGUACACACCGCCCGUCACACCAUGGGAGUGGGUUGCAAAAGAAGUAGGUAGCUUAACCUUCGGGAGGGCGCUUACCACUUUGUGAUUCAUGACUGGGGUGAAGUCGUAACAAGGUAACCGUAGGGGAACCUGCGGUUGGAUCACCUCCUU